This is a long non-coding RNA of Lagopus leucura (white-tailed ptarmigan), 416 nucleotides long. RefSeq lists it as uncharacterized. The transcript has 2 exons. The record is from RefSeq and is a predicted model, not a curated record. NCBI's taxonomy places the organism in Eukaryota, Metazoa, Chordata, Aves, Galliformes, Phasianidae.
UAUGGUCAUUCCAGUUAUAGUGACAUUAAUAUCCAUUUUAUUGGUACUGGCACCAGUCAUCACCACAGCUGAACUGGCCUAUUUGUACUGUGUUUUAUUUAUACUAAGUGGACUUAUAUUUUAUGUACUUUUCGUUCAUUACAAGUUCAAGUGGUCUCAAAAAAUAUCAGAGCCAAUCACUAUGCACCUUCAGAUGCUUUUGGAAGUUGUUCCACCAGAGGAAGUUGCUGAAUAAAAUAUUUUGUGUGAGAUGACGUGUUUUUAAGUGCUACAUCAGUUGAAGGAGAUUCCAUUCAGUUUGGGGCACACUUAAACUUUCUGAAUUGCUAUGUUCAUACUAGUGGGCAGCAUUUUUGCAACGCUACGUAGUAUGUGAAGUAGAUUAAAUUUAAGAAUAAAAAGAUUUCUAAGCCAAA